AUAGGGGAGGGUCCAAUGGUGGGGGGGGUCUCAUUGUCCCCAUGGGGGGGUCCCUGUUCCCCCCCCCCCAGGUGGAGUUCCAUCUGUGUAUCCGUGUGGGGGGCACCGUCAGUUCCUGCAGCCAUGGCCAGGAGAGCGCAUGGGUCCUGGAUGGGCUGCGGCUGCGGGUUCAGAGCCGACACUUCAUGCGGGAUCCGCUGCCCCCCCCCUGCACCCUCCUUCACCCCAUAGCUGCCCCCGCCGUGGGGCUGCGGCUGCCCCAUAGCGCGGCCGCUAUGGGGCUGGGGGGGGAGCUGAGCGCCGUCCCCAUUGCGGCUCUAUGUCCUUGUCUGAGACCCCUCCCCAACCUGCCCACCCACCUCAGCUCCGUCGCCAUAUCCCAGCACCCAUGGGGGCUAUGGGGGGGUCUAUGGGGCACCCAUGGGGGGAUAUGGGGUCUAUGGGGGCACCCAUGGGGGCUAUGGGGGGCUAUGGGGUCUAUGGGGGCUAUGGGGGGGUCUAUAUCCGAGGGUCCGGGCCUUUACUCACGAGAGGGGCACGAUGAUGAGGAAGGGGCCGUUGAUGCGCUUGUGCUC
This 575-nucleotide long non-coding RNA is filed under the name Coturnix japonica (Japanese quail). Its description in RNAcentral is "lncRNA (ENSCJPG00005001639.1)". The record is from RNAcentral. Lineage: Eukaryota; Metazoa; Chordata; Aves; Galliformes; Phasianidae.